RNAcentral lists this ribosomal RNA (458 nucleotides) under uncultured Pseudomonadota bacterium. RNAcentral describes it as "bacterial SSU rRNA". It matches the Rfam family "Bacterial small subunit ribosomal RNA", at positions 346 to 795 of the family's 1533-position model. Lineage: Bacteria; Pseudomonadati; Pseudomonadota. The record is from RNAcentral.
UGGCUGCAGUGAGGAAUUUUGCGCAAUGGGGGAAACCCUGACGCAGCAACGCCGCGUGAGUGAUGAAGGCUUUCGAGUCGUAAAGCUCUGUCAAGUGAGAAGAACCUAUCCCGCACUAAUACCGCGGGAUACUGACGGUAUCACUGAAGGAAGCACCGGCUAACUCCGUGCCAGCAGCCGCGGUAAUACGGGGGGUGCAAGCGUUAUUCGGAAUCAUUGGGCGUAAAGGGCGCGUAGGCGGUCUUUUAAGUCAGAUGUGAAAGCCCGGGGCUCAACCCCGGAAGUGCAUUUGAAACUAAGGGACUUGAGUAUGGGAGAGGGAAGUGGAAUUCCUGGUGUAGAGGUGAAAUUCGUAGAUAUCAGGAGGAACACCGGUGGCGAAGGCGACUUCCUGGACCAAUACUGACGCUGAGGCGCGAAGGCGUGGGGAGCAAACAGGAUUAGAUACCCCAGUAGUC